UUAACUACGUGGCAAACAUCAUACUCUCUUAAUUUUUUUUUUUAAGAGACUAAGGUGUCACUAUGUUCUUCAGGUUGCUCUGCUCCUGGGUCCAAGCUGUUCUCCUGCCUCAGCCUCCCAAGAAGCUGAAACUACAGGAACACGCAACUACCUGGCUUGCAAAUACCACUGCUAGUAAGAAGAUAUUACAUGGAUCCCUGAGGUUGGUCCCCAAUACUACAAGGCAAUUUGGUAUCAUAAUAGAACACUGCAGACACAAUGCUGAGUGA
Molecule: long non-coding RNA, 269 nt
Organism: Rhinopithecus bieti (black snub-nosed monkey)
Lineage: Eukaryota; Metazoa; Chordata; Mammalia; Primates; Cercopithecidae
Source: Ensembl